RNAcentral lists this transfer RNA (73 nucleotides) under Ailuropoda melanoleuca (giant panda). It matches the Rfam family "tRNA". From Rfam's summary of the family: Transfer RNA (tRNA) molecules are approximately 80 nucleotides in length. Their secondary structure includes four short double-helical elements and three loops (D, anti-codon, and T loops). Lineage: Eukaryota; Metazoa; Chordata; Mammalia; Carnivora; Ursidae. The record is from Rfam by way of RNAcentral.
UCCUGGCUGGCUCAGUUGAUGGAGCAUGCAACUCUUGAUCUCAGGGUUAUGGGUUCAAGUCCCAUGUUGGGUG